Diceros bicornis minor is the source of this 2244-nucleotide long non-coding RNA. RefSeq lists it as uncharacterized. NCBI's taxonomy places the organism in Eukaryota, Metazoa, Chordata, Mammalia, Perissodactyla, Rhinocerotidae. The transcript has 3 exons. The record is from RefSeq and is a predicted model, not a curated record.
UCCGCGCGGGGGUCAGGCCCCUGGCGCCUCCCUGCAGGGUCGCGGGGCUGGGCACAGCCUUGCCUCCCUCCAGCUCCCGGGCAGGCGGGACCCUUGGCCUCCAUCCUCCAGAACGCCCGCCACUCCGAGCCGCUUCUCGACUCCGACGCUGGGCCGGUCCGGAGUCCUCGGACAGAACCGGGCAGAGCCGGGCAGAGCCGCCACGAAGGGUCAAUUAUUCAUGUGGCGCCCGGGCGUGCUCCCAAGACCUGCUCUGCCCUUAGCUUCUCCGCAGAAGUGGGGAGAAGACAGGGGACAAGUUCCCAGAGCAAAGUUGGCCCCAUUUCUCUUUUUCUCAAAAUGACUCACCAUGCCAGAAACGCAAUGAGCUAGCUGUGGAAGAAGCGUUCUGUCUAAGAUGCCCUGUGUCCCAACCGGUGGCUGGGCUUGGGGUUCACCUACGCCUGAUCAAGAUGGCCAGGGUGUCUCAGGAGCGUGACUGGAAUAUGAAGACUGUGGUUACGAAGGCCUGGCCUGAUCAGCAGAGUUGUAGUCUGCCUGAAGAACAAAUAGGAAUCAGAAGAGAGUGGGCCUCAUACAAUCCAGGAGGGCCCCUAGGAAGAAGCACCUGGCUAUGUUGCUUGGUGGAGAGAAGUAGACAGAAGUUCACACUGUGGAGGAGAGAGAGGGAGAAAGGUAUUAACUGACUCCUCCAGAGCCAGAAUUAAAUCUUUCAAAACCUCUUAGUCCUUUGCUUGGGUUCCUCAUUCUCUAAGCAACCUGCAGAUGAACUUGGCACCAGUAAAAAAAGCCCCCUGGAUCCAGACAGACACCAGCGUUCCAGUUCGUGCAUUGUAAACAUUUCGCAUUUCUAUUAUUUCUUUAUGACACAAGUUCAUUGUGGAAGAAUUUGAAAAUGAGCUAAGGAAAACUGAAAAAGAACCCCCCGUGGAGACAUUAUAUUUUGGUGUAUAUCCUUGGACAUUUUAUAGCUACAUAUCUACAUGUAAAUGCACAUAAUAAUAAAACUAUAUAAAUACUGUUAAACAAAUGAAUGACUUUACAUGUAAAUAUGUUAUUUUGACAAAGUUAACAAAAUGGCAUAACACUAUACUUACUGAAUUGCAACCACUUUUGCCCAUAGUAUGUCACAAAUAUCUUUCCCUGUCUAUAAACAUUCACAUUAUCAUUCUUAACAAAUGAUAUUAUUCCAUGGUAUGUGUGUAUCUUAAUUUGUUUAAACAAAUUGUUGACCCUGGGGGAUGUUUCCAGUUUUUCACUUUUAUGGACCUGCUGUGAUAAGCAUACUUGUUCAGUUACCUUAGUGCCAGGUAGAUGUCAUAUUCUGACCAUUUUACAUAUGAGGAGACUGAGUCACAGAAAAGUUUAAAAACUUCCCAAGGUCACAGCUAUGGAGUGACUGAGCCAGAAUUUGCAGCUCGAGUUUCCAGGUGGGAGUUCCUUUCAGCAUCUCUGUUUUCUUCUUUUCUUUAGAGCGACUGUCCCCUGCACCCACCUCUCCGUUAUCUCUUUCUCUAACAAAUUGCCUCCUUGUGAGAGCCUGUCGGGGCAGGUGACCCACUUGCUUCUCUGACACCAUUUUACCUUCGGUAAUGUCCACCUCCUGGGGUUGUUGGAAGGAAUGAAAGCAGGAGUAAUGAAUGACAGGGUGCAUCAAAUAACCCACCUCUUCUGACCCGCCUUGUGACCAAGGGUGCAUAUUUACAUGGCUUUAUUCCCAUCACGGCUUGGACCAAUAAGUUAACUGGCCUUAUUUGCAUAAAUAGAAGAAUAAACCAAAAGAAAAAUGAGCCAUCAACCAUAAACAGGAGAUUGCCAGCUUCACCAAACAGUUACAAACAAAUAAAUGCAUAAAAGCCACAAUGAUGACACAUAUUGCUAUGGGACUGCUAAUUGAUACUAAACCUGGAAGGUAAUUUGACGUUUGUCAAGAGAAGUUUAAAGGUUUAUACCCUUCGAUUCAGUAACUUUAGUUCUAGAAAUCUGAGAGAGAAUCAGCGGUGUGGACAAAGAUAUGUGUUAAGGAUGUUUAUCAAAGUAUCAUUUAUGUUGGCAAAAAUUACAAACAAAAAAAAGGGAGCGGAAGGAAGGAAGGAAAUAACCCAAGUAUUCAACAAUGAGGAAAUGUUUAAAGAAGUUACGGCAUGCACGUUUGAUGUAAUACUAUAUGACUAUUAAAAACCACAUUUUUGAAGAAUAUUUAAUGACCUGGAAAUUGUUUGUAAUAUACUGAGUGAGAUACAA